GUCCACGCCGUAAACGAUGAGUGCUAGGUGCUGCGGGUAUUGACCCCUGCGGUGCCGUAGCUAACGCGUUAAGCACUCCGCCUGGGGAGUACGGCCGCAAGGCUAAAACUCAAAGGAAUUGACGGGGGCCCCGCACAAGCGGUGGAGCAUGUGGUUCAAUUCGACGCAACGCGCAGAACCUUACCUGGGUUAAAUCCACUCAAAGCCCGCAGAGAUGUGGGGGUGCCCUUCGGGGAAUGAGUGAGAAGGUGCUGCAUGGCUGUCGU
Molecule: ribosomal RNA, 266 nt
Filed under: uncultured bacterium
Lineage: Bacteria
Description: partial 16S ribosomal RNA
Rfam family: Bacterial small subunit ribosomal RNA
Source: RNAcentral